GACGAACGCUGGCGGCGUGCUUAACACAUGCAAGUCGAACGGAAAGGCCCUGCUUUUGUGGGGUGCUCGAGUGGCGAACGGGUGAGUAACACGUGAGUAACCUGCCCUUGACUUUGGGAUAACUUCAGGAAACUGGGGCUAAUACCGGAUAGGAGCUCCUGCUGCAUGGUGGGGGUUGGAAAGUUUCGGCGGUUGGGGAUGGACUCGCGGCGUAUCAGCUUGUUGGUGGGGUAGUGGCUUACCAAGGCUUUGACGGGUAGCCGGCCUGAGAGGGUGACCGGCCACAUUGGGACUGAGAUACAGCCCAGACUCCUACGGGAGGCAGCAGUGGGGAAUAUUGCACAAUGGGCGGAAGCCUGAUGCAGCAACGCCGCGUGCGGGAUGACGGCCUUCGGGUUGUAAACCGCUUUCGCCUGUGACGAAGCGUGAGUGACGGUAAUGGGUAAAGAAGCACCGGCUAACUACGUG
RNAcentral lists this ribosomal RNA (468 nucleotides) under uncultured bacterium. RNAcentral's name for it is "partial 16S ribosomal RNA". It matches the Rfam family "Bacterial small subunit ribosomal RNA", at positions 28 to 507 of the family's 1533-position model. The record is from RNAcentral.